RNAcentral lists this ribosomal RNA (274 nucleotides) under uncultured bacterium. RNAcentral's name for it is "partial 16S ribosomal RNA". It matches the Rfam family "Bacterial small subunit ribosomal RNA", at positions 523 to 796 of the family's 1533-position model. The record is from RNAcentral.
CUACGGAGGGUGCAAGCGUUAUUCGGAAUCACUGGGCGUAAAGGACGCGUAGGCGGGUUGGCAAGUCAGAUGUGAAAUCCUACAGCUUAACUGUAGAACUGCAUUUGAAACUGCUAACCUAGAGUAUGGGAGGGGGAGAUGGAAUUAGUGGUGUAGGGGUAAAAUCCGUAGAUAUCACUAGGAAUACCGAAAGCGAAGGCGAUCUCCUGGAACAUAACUGACGCUAAGGCGUGAAAGCGAGGGGAGCAAACAGGAUUAGAAACCCUAGUAGUCC